GAUGAACGCUGGCGGCGUGCCUAAUACAUGCAAGUCGAGCGAACAGACGAGGCGCUUGCUCCUCUGACGUUAGCGGCGGACGGGUGAGUAACACGUGGAUAACCUACCUAUAAGACGGGGAUAACUUCGGGAAACCGGAGCUAAUACCGGAUAAUAUAUUGAACCGCAUGGUUCAAUAGUGAAAGACGGUUUUGCUGUCACUUAUAGAUGGAUCCGCGCCGCAUUAGCUAGUUGGUAAGGUAACGGCUUACCAAGGCGACGAGGCGUAGCCGACCUGUGAGGGUGAUCGGCCACACUGGAACUGCGACACGGUCCAGACUCCUACGGGAGGCAGCAGUAGGGAAUCUUCCGCAAUGGGCGAAAGCCUGACGGAGCAGCGCCGCGUGAGUGAUGAAGGUCUUCGGAUCGUAAAACUCUGUUAUUAGGGAAGAACAAAUGUGUAAGUAACUAUGCACGUCUUGACGGUACCUAGUCAGAAAGCCACGGCUAACUACGUG
RNAcentral lists this ribosomal RNA (497 nucleotides) under uncultured bacterium. Its description in RNAcentral is "partial 16S ribosomal RNA". It matches the Rfam family "Bacterial small subunit ribosomal RNA", at positions 28 to 507 of the family's 1533-position model. The record is from RNAcentral.